GCGCCGUUAGCUCAGCUGGCAGAGCAACAGCCUUUUAAGCUGAUGGUCGCUGGUUCGAUUCCAGCACGGCGCA
This 73-nucleotide transfer RNA is filed under the name bacterium. RNAcentral describes it as "tRNA-Lys". It matches the Rfam family "tRNA". Rfam says of the family: Transfer RNA (tRNA) molecules are approximately 80 nucleotides in length. Their secondary structure includes four short double-helical elements and three loops (D, anti-codon, and T loops). The record is from RNAcentral.